GGUUGACCUCGGAUCAGGUAGGAAGACCCGCUGAACUUAAGCAUAUCAAUAAGCGGAGGAAAAGAAACCAACAGGGAUUGCCCUAGUAACGGCGAGUGAAGCGGCAACAGCUCAAAUUUGAAAUCUGGCUUCGGCCCGAGUUGUAAUUUGCAGAGGAAGCUUUAGGCGCGGCACCUCCUGAGUCCCCUGGAACGGGGCGCCACAGAGGGUGAGAGCCCCGUAUAGUUGGAUGCCUAGCCUGUGUAAAGCUCCUUCGACGAGUCGAGUAGUUUGGGAAUGCUGCUCAAAAUGGGAGGUAAAUUUCUUCUAAAGCUAAAUACCGGCCAGAGACCGAUAGCGCACAAGUAGAGUGAUCGAAAGAUGAAAAGCACUUUGAAAAGAGGGUUAAAUAGCACGUGAAAUUGUUGAAAGGGAAGCGCUUGUGACCAGACUUGCGCCGGGCUGAUCAUCCGGUGUUCUCACCGGUGCACUCUGCCCGGCUCAGGCCAGCAUCGGUUCUCGCGGGGGGAUAAAGGCCCUGGGAACGUAGCUCCUCCGGGAGUGUUAUAGCCCGGGGCGCAAUGCCCUCGCGGGGACC
Molecule: ribosomal RNA, 577 nt
Filed under: Chaetomium sp. U47
Lineage: Eukaryota; Fungi; Ascomycota; Sordariomycetes; Sordariales; Chaetomiaceae
Description: eukaryotic LSU rRNA
Rfam family: Eukaryotic large subunit ribosomal RNA
Source: RNAcentral